UGAAUACGAGAUGCUACGGCGUCGAAGCAGUGUAUGUCAGACUUCCAAGAAAAGCUCGCAAUGUCAUAAAUAAAGAAUGCCUGUACCAUAACCGACACAGGUGGGUAGGUAGAGUAUACUAAGGGGCGCGAGAUAACUCUCUCUAAGGAACUCGGCAAAAUAACUCCGUAACUUCGGGAGAAGGAGUGCCUUCUUUAAGAAGGUUGCAAUAACAAGAUCCAAGCAACUGUUUAUCAAAAACACAGGUCUCCGCUAAGUCGUAAGACGAUGUAUGGGGGCUGACGCCUGCCCAGUGCCAGAAGGUUAAAGAAGUUGGUUAGCUUUUGCGAAGCUGAUGACUGAAGCCCUGGUGAACGGCGGCCGUAACAAUAACAGUCCUAAGGUAGCGAAAUUCCUUGUCGGGUAAGUUCCGACCCGCACGAAAGGCGUAAUGAUUUGGAUACUGUCUCGGAGAGGGACUCGGUGAAAUAGACUUGUCUGUGAAGAUGCGGACUACCUGCACCAGGACAGAAAGACCCUAUGAAGCUUUACUGUAACUUGAAAUUGAAAUUGGACUUUAUUUGCGCAGUAUAGGUGGAAGGCGUUGAAAGUAAUCUUGCGGGAUUAGUGGAGCCAUCAGUGAGAUACCACUCCUAUAAUGUUAGAUUUCUAACUUUGGAUCAUGAUCUGGUCAAAGAACAGUUUCAGGCGGGCAUUUUGACUGGGGCGGUCGCCUCCCAAAUGGUAACGGAGGCGUACAAAGGUUUCCUCUGAACGGGUAGAAAUCGUAUCUAGAGUGUAAAGGCAUAAGGAAGCUUGACUGUGAGACCUACAAGUCGAGCAGGGACGAAAGUCGGUCUUAGUGAUCUGACGGUGCUGAGUGGAAAGGCCGUCACUCAACGGAUAAAAGUUACUCUAGGAUAACAGGCUGAUCUCCCCCAAGAGUUCACAUCGACGGGGAGGUUUGGCACCUCGAUGUCGGCUCAUCGCAUCCUGGGGCGGUAGUACGUCCCAAGGGUUGGGCUGUUCGCCCAUGAAAGCGGUACGCGAGCUGGGUUCAGAACGUCGUGAGACAGUUCGGUCCAUAUCCGGUGUAGGCGUUAGAAUAUUGAGAGGAGCCUUCUUUAGUACGAGAGGACCGAGAAGGACAUACCUCUGGUGUACCAGUUAUCGUGCCAACGGUAAACGCUGGGUAGCUAUGUAUGGAGAGGAUAACCGCUGAAAGCAUCUAAGUGGGAAGCCCACCUCAAGAUGAGUAUUCCC
Molecule: ribosomal RNA, 1242 nt
Filed under: metagenome
Description: bacterial LSU rRNA
Rfam family: Bacterial large subunit ribosomal RNA
Source: RNAcentral